AACACAUCAGGCAGAAUGGAUAGACGACCAUCCACCUAUCUGCUGAUAUUUAAUUGUUUUACAGUUGUCCGCAUCUAUGGAAAAGAUUUAAACCAGGGGGUGAGAAACUCUGACCACAAUGCAGUACUGCAGAAAGACCACCAUCACAAUCUCCCCUGAUGACCAAUGGGAACCAGCUUGCUGUGGCAAACACUACAGAUGAAAGUCAAGUGUCAGACCAUGCAGUGUAUGCUGUCGUCAACCACCGACAGUCUGGGAUACCUGCCAGAGAACAGCAUGCUGUGACUAAACCAGAUAAAAACUCAGAAUAUGCUGCCAUCAAUGUUUCCUAAACAUUUUGGAUUUUUCAUAGCAUGCAGAUGAAAACAUGGAUGGAAAAUGUACUCAAGUACGUGUUGAUGUCAUGGAACAGCGAACAACCAUACAGCAUGAGAGGUUAACGGAGGAGGCUUGUGGUUAUGCAGAUGCACUCUACAGUCAUCCUAAAUACACCAGGCGAGACCACAAGCAGCAUUUAAUCUUUUUCACACCCUCAGAUUUGGAGUGAUUAAGUAUAUUUCUCAUGUGCUUCCUCAUUGAAUACGUGUUCUGUGACUGUGGAACCCUUUUGUUCUUUAAAAGGUCAUGAAUGUGUUGUCCUUGAUAUUUAUUUUUGCAUUCCUCUCAGUUGAGAUGACUAUUUGAUUAUUUAAAUAGUUUGAAUAGGUAUUUACGAGUAUUUCUGUCCAACACGCAGCACAAACACUGUACCUGGCCCAUCGACCACACUGUGGUCGAGUUUAAAUGUGCAGGAAGUCAAAGAGGGCAACAAAAGAUUUCUUGACAUCAUUGCAUAUAUUGUUUACGUACUGAGAUGGUAGUUUGAGCAGUGGUCUUAUCAUAGUGGUGUGUCACAUAUUCAGCAGGUUGAAUAACAUACAAGACACAAUGGAUAAGAACAAAGAAUUUGCCAAAACCAAUUUGCCAUAAAAAACAUAUUAAAGAACAACCCAACAUGUUUUGGCCUGUUCAACAUCGAUUCUGGGCUUGAUAUGAUUAUGAAAUAUGAAGUCGUUUUCUUCCAUGAUUUAUCAUCGUAAGUAAUGAAAUCUUGCUGACAUUAGUGGGGAUAACUGGAAAACGAAGUCAAACAUUUACAUUUUGAGUAACUGAUUAGAUUAAUAACUGGGCAAUACAUGGAGAAAUACAAUAAUAUUUUAGUGACUUGUAGAAUUGUAAAAAUUCCCAGGUAGAAUAAAUUCCCAAGUCUCCCAAACAUAAAAUCAGGGAUUGCCCUGUGCACCUUAUAAGACUACAAAAAACGGCCAUUAUGCUGAUAACAUACAGCGUGUCAUAUUUAAAACCUCAUAAUUCAGUUUUCUUUAGAGGAUGUCCAGUGGAGCACAGUGUUCCUUGAGCUGUAAUCUGUUUACAGAUGCUCACAAAAGGUUCUUUCACUGAGAAAUGGCAAGUGGAAAAUGUCAUGAAAUGCUUCUGAAUAAUGUGACCUGGUUUAUAUAUUCCUUACAGUAUACUCACUGGAAUAGGAGAGGAAGGUGACACUUUUUAAAAAUGUACAUGCUGUAUGUGAGUCCUUAAAAUCAUUUGAAAUGACUCUGUCAACUUUUUUUCGGACUGUGAAUGGAAAAAUUUCAUCUCAACAACUGUGUCUGAUAGCUAUAGCCCACACACAAGUUCUGCUCUCAUAGUCUCUCUCUCUGUCUCUCUCUCUGUCUCUCGCUCACACACACACACACACACACACACACACACACGCACACACGCACACACACACGCACGUACACAUGCACUCACACACUAGUAAUCAGGUUUUUUCUCUGAUAAACAAAGCCCUGGUUCAGGAGGCAGAGAUAUGGAGAGUGUGGAGGCUUGUGCCAAGGCAGCGUUUGAGAUGGGCCUGAUUAGAACGAGCCUAAGGUCACUCACAGAGUGUGUACUCUACUGCACUGCAAUCUAAGAACAUCUGACAAGGAGUAGAGCAGUGCUGAAUGUUUGUGAUCCUACUCCAAAAUCUCCCUUAAAAAUACAGUUUCUGUAUCUUGAGGAUUUAUUAAAGCUGAUCCAUCCAUCCAUCCA
Cottoperca gobio is the source of this 2076-nucleotide long non-coding RNA. RefSeq lists it as uncharacterized. Lineage: Eukaryota; Metazoa; Chordata; Actinopteri; Perciformes; Bovichtidae. The transcript has 3 exons. The record is from RefSeq and is a predicted model, not a curated record.